UACGUAGGGUGCAAGCGUUAAUCGGAAUUACUGGGCGUAAAGCGUGCGCAGGCGGUUUUGUAAGACAGAUGUGAAAUCCCCGGGCUUAACCUGGGACCUGCAUUUGUGACUGCAAAGCUAGAGUACGGUAGAGGGGGAUGGAAUUCCGCGUGUAGCAGUGAAAUGCGUAGAUAUGCGGAGGAACACCGAUGGCGAAGGCAAUCCCCUGGACCUGUACUGACGCUCAUGCACGAAAGCGUGGGGAGCAAACAGG
RNAcentral lists this ribosomal RNA (253 nucleotides) under uncultured bacterium. Its description in RNAcentral is "partial 16S ribosomal RNA". It matches the Rfam family "Bacterial small subunit ribosomal RNA", at positions 524 to 776 of the family's 1533-position model. The record is from RNAcentral.